This 1309-nucleotide long non-coding RNA is filed under the name Mytilus galloprovincialis (Mediterranean mussel). The record is from RNAcentral. Lineage: Eukaryota; Metazoa; Mollusca; Bivalvia; Mytilida; Mytilidae.
GUUGGGUACCACCUUAAGAUAUCCCCUUUUAUCUUAAAAUCUUAAUGGAUUUAAAAUAUGAUCUGUUUUUCUGAAUGUAACUACUAUGAACUCUUUUUUUUUUUGCUGUAUACUAAUUUUAGUGGAAUUACUUUUCUAUAGGGGAACUUCAAAUGUUAAGUUCAUCUAUAGGAAAGUGUGCAGACGUUUGCAAAAUAUAAAAAAAAAACAUUUUCCAAAAUGCAAGUUUUCAUGAAUCCACGAAAAAUGGUACCCACAAAAAUACUAGAAUCCAUAAUAUAUUUUUACUUUAUAUGAGUUUACAUUUAUUGCUGCUUUUAAUUGUUGAUUUUUAAGGUUGUAAAUAUAGACUAUUAUUUGUGAUAUUUUUAUUGCUGAAAAUAUGUGUACUUAACAUGUACCCUUGAGAUGAAAUCAUUCCACGUUAGAUUGAUGAAAUAGGUCAAGUUUUUACUAUGUCAAAACAUUUGCCAAAAUAUUCAAAGGAGUAGGUUCAGUAAGACCCCUUUUUGGCCCCAAAAUAUAACAGUUUUACAAAACUGGAAAGUAGAAUGCUUCUGCUACAUAAAUAUGGGCUGUUUUUGACAAUUCAAUGCAUAUAUAUCGGGUACUAGCAUCAUUAAGUCAUGCUAAAUAACUGAAAUCUUCACAAUUUUAGCAUUUUAGUUAAAUUUUAGACGGUUUCUGCAUUCGUGUUCAUUCAUAAUAUUAAAUUGUAAGUUGUAUUUGAUGAUAUUACAGAACAUAUAUAAAGGUUGAGUAUGAACAUGGAUGCGGCCACUUUCAAUUUUGACAAAACCCAUCUGAAAAAUGAAGUUUUUUGGCAUAUUUGGUAGAUUUUUCAUAUUGAAGCUUGAAUCGGAGCGUUUUUAAUGACUAAAUUAGUUAAAAUCGUUCACAUAACUAAUUGAAUCAAUUUAAAUAGACACUUAAGUGUUUAAAAAAUGUCCAAAAUCUUUCAUUAGAUGAACCUGAAAUUUGAGGCCAAAAUCGGCCCUUACCUGGCCUUGCAGUCAUAAAACUUUCGAGCACUAUUUUUGUACUCAGACUCAAGAAUCAACCAAUCAAAAUGCUUGAUUUCAUGUUUCGAGCAUGAUUUUUGUGCUCCGAGCACUGAGCAAAGUUUUAUGACUUCAACCCGCAGACCUACUCCUUUGAAUACAGAAAACUUACAUAUUCAUAUUCAAAACCCCAAAUAAUUAAGGAUGUUCGCUACUCUGUUAAAAAAUAACAAGCUUUUUAAAAGACUAUUAUGAAUUGAUAGUAUAUUAAUAAAGAAACUCAAAAGUAGAAAAAAAUGGAGGGUUCC